CUGAGAAGCGAGGGGGCGCUAGGGAAGGGAUCUAGCUAGCGAUGGUCCGACGAGAAAGCUGAGCGAGGAAGUUGGGGAGCAGAACCCGCUAGGUGUCCGAAUAGGGUAAGGUUGCGCCGCCCGGGACCGUUAGGAAAUAAAGGAGGUGAGAAAGAAAGCAAUUGCCGGGCGGAUCCCCGGACAGAGGGCUAAGGUUGUGUGGAAGGACUUGCUCCCCGGAUGGCGACCGCAGACAUUCCGGCCCCGGCCUCCAGCGGCCUCUCGCCCAAGGAAGAAGGGGAGUUAGAAGAUGGGGAGAUUAGCGACGACGAUAAUAACAGCCGGAGCAGCAGCAGCAGCAGCGGUGGAGGGCUGUUACCCUACCCUCGGCGGAGGCCUCACCCGACCCGGGGCGGUGGAUCGGGCGGAGGCGGUGGCUCCUCCUCGUCCUCAUCGUCUUCUCAGCAGCAGCUGAGGAAUUUCUCACGCCCGCGGCACGCGUCGGAACGGGGCCACCUCCGGGGACACUGCAGCUACCGACCCAAAGAACCGUUCCGCUCUCACCCGCCCUCCGCUCGGAUGCCUUCCAGCUCCGUGUCCGAGAGCAGUUCCCGGCCGUCCUUCUGGGAGCGCAGCCACAUCGCCUUGGACCGCUUCCGCUUUCGAAGCCGGCCUUACCGGGGCGGCAGUCGCUGGAGUCGGGGACGUGGAGGGGGUGAGCGAGGAGUCAAGCCGGGGGGCCGACCUCCCCUGGGAGGAGGCACGGGAUCCGGAUUCAGCAGCAGUCAGAGCUGGCGAGAGCCCUCUCCACCGCGCAAGAACUCCAAAAGUUUUGGAAGAUCUCCGUCAAGAAAACAGAAUUACUCAUCAAAAAGUGAAAACUGUGGGGAAGAGACUUUUGAAGAUUUGCUUUUGAAAUAUAAGCAAAUACAGUUAGAACUUGAGUGCAUCAAUAAGGAUGAAAAGCUUGCUUUGAGUAGCAAAGAGGAGACUGUGCAAGAAGACUCUAAUAAACCAUUGAACUUUGAGGACCAAAUAAGCACUGAUAAUGUCAGUAUUACAAAGGACUCAAGUAAAGAAAUAGCUCCUGAGGAGAAAACACAGGUUAAAACUUUUCAGGCAUUUGAAUUGAAACCACUCAGGCAAAAAUUGACUUUACCAGGAGAUAAAAACCGGUUGAAAAAAGUUAAAGAUGCAGCAAAACCUCUUUCCCUGAAAUCUGACACUACUGAACCUAGCCAAGGGUUAGAAGAUAAAGAACAAAAUUUAACAAGAAGAAUUAGUACUUCAGAUAUUUUGUCUGAAAAGAAACUUGGUGAAGAUGAAGAAGAACUAUCUGAAUUACAGCUUCGUCUUUUGGCUCUUCAAUCAGCUAGUAAAAAAUGGCAACAAAAAGAACAGCAGGUGAUGAAAGAAAGCAAAGAAAAGUUAACUAAGACCAAAACCAUACAGCAAAAAGCAUGGAAGAAACUACAGCAACAAAAAGAACAGGAAAGGCAGAAAGAAGAGGAUCAAAGAAAACAAGCUGAAGAAGAAGAGAGAAGGAAAAGAGAAGAAGAAAUCCGAAAAAUUCGGGAUCUCUCAAAUCAAGAAGAGCAAUACAAUCGAUUCAUGAAAUUGGUUGGUGGAAAGAGAAGAUCAAGAAGUAAAUCUUCAGAUCCUGACCUGAGGAGAUCCUUAGAUAAGCAACCUGAUAGUGGAGGAAGCAUUUAUCAGUAUGAUAACUAUGAAGAAGUUGCUAUGGAUACAGAUAGUGAAACCAGUUCUCCAGCUCCUUCACCAGCACGACCUCCAUUCUUUUCUGAAUGUUCAUUGGGAUAUUUUUCUCCCGUAUCGUCUGUUUCUUUGCCUCCACCACCUCAGGUUUCUUCUGUGCCACCUUUGAGCCAACCUUACGUGGAUGGCUUGUGUACUUCUCUUGCACCUCUACCUCCUCCACCACCUCUCCCACCACUCCCACCAGAAGAUCCAGAACAGCCUCCAAAACCACCUUUUGCAGAUGAAGAAGAAGAGGAAGAAAUGCUGCUAAGAGAAGAGCUGCUUAAAUCUCUAGCAAAUUGAAGAGCUUAUAAACCAGAGGAAACAUCUAGUAAUAGUGACCCACCUUCACCUCCAGUUGUGAACAAUUCGCAGCCUGUGCCAAGAAGCAAUUUAUCAAUAGUCAGUAUUAAUACAGUAUCUCAGCCUAGGAUACAGAAUCCAAAGUUCCACAGAGGACCUCGUCUUCCACGAACUGUGAUCUCGCUUCCAAAACAUAAGUCAGUGGUUGUAACACUAAAUGAUUCAGAUGAUAGUGAAUCUGAUGGAGAGGCUUCUAAGUCGACAAAUAGUGUUUUUGGUGGACUAGAGUCCAUGAUUAAAGAAGCAAGGCGGACUGCUGAGCAAGCAUCAAAACCAAAAGUACCUCCAAAAUCUGAAAAAGAAAACGAUCCCAUGCGAACACCUGAAGCUUUGCCUGAGGAAAAGAAAAUUGAAUACAGAAUGUUAAAAGAAGAGAUUGCCAAUCGUGAGAGACAACGUUUGAUUAAAUCAGAUCAACUGAAGACGAAUUCAUCAUCCCCAGCAAAUUCUGAUGUUGAAAUUGAUGGGAUUGGCAGAAUAGCGAUGGUUACAAAGCAAGUUACAGAUGCAGAAGCAAAACUUAAAAAACAUAGGAUUCUCUUGAUGAAAGAUGAAUCUGUUUUAAAAAACUUAGUACAACAAGAAGCUAAGAAAAAAGAAUCUGUUCGAAAUGCUGAAACAAAGAUUACAAAACUUACAGAACAGCUUCAAGCAACUGAAAAAAUCCUCAAUGUCAAUAGAAUGUUUUUGAAGAAGCUUCAGGAACAAAUUCACAAGGUUCAGCAACGUGUAACAGUUAAGAAAGCUUUAACAUUAAAGUAUGGAGAAGAGCUUGCCCGUGCAAAGGCAGUGGCUAGUAAAGAAAUAGGGAAACGUAAACUGGAACAGGAUCAUCUUGGACCAAACAAAAUGAUGAGACUGGACAGUUCUCCGAUUUCAAGCCCAAGAAAGCCUUCAGCAGAACUAAUUGCUAUGGAAAAAAGACGAUUACAAAAGCUAGAAUAUGAGUAUGCCCUGAAAAUUCAGAAAUUAAAACAAGCUCGUGCUCUUAAAGCAAAGGAACAGCAGAGUAUUGCUACCGUUGUAGAUGAUGAAUCUGAAUUUUCUUUACCUCAACCCUCACUUCAUGACCUGACUCAAGAUAAGUUAACCCUUGACACCGAGGAAAAUGAUGUUGAUGAUGAAGUUUUAUCUGAUUCAAACAGAGAAAGAAGAAGAUCCUUUAUAGAAUCCAAUUCUUUCACUAAACCUAACUUAAAACACACUGACACAUCUAACAAAGAAUGCCUGAAUAAACCUACUAAAAGUAAUUUAGAAAAACCAGAACUUUUUCUAGGGUUAAAAAUUGGUGAAUUGCAAAAAUUAUAUUCAAAAGCGGACAGCUUGAAACAGUUGAUCUUAAAAACUACCACAGGUAUUACAGAGAAAGUUUUGCAUGGUCAGGAGAUUUCUGUGGAUGUGGACUCUGGCCCAGAACAGUGUAGAGCAACAGAAGUGAGACCGUUGCCCUUCACACCCUACCGUAGUCCUCUUCUAGUGUUUAAAUCCUACAGAUUUAGUCCUUACUACCGAACGAAGGAAAAAUUUCCGCUGAGCUCAGUGUCAUAUAGUAACAUGAUUGAGCCAUAUCAGUGUUUCUGCCACUUUGAUUUAACAGGAACAUGUAAUGAUGAUGAUUGCCAGUGGCAGCAUACUAAAGACUAUACACUAAGCCGAAAGCAGCUAUUCCAGGACAUUCUGUCAUACAAUCUGUCUUUAAUUGGUUGUUCAGAGACAAGCACUGAUGAGGAAAUUGCUGCUGCAGCAGAAAAAUAUGUUGAAAAGCUUUUUGGAGUAAAUAAAGAUCGAAUGUCAAUGGACCAGAUGGCUGUUCUCCUUGUUAGCAAUAUCAAUGAAAGUAGAGGUCAUACACCUCCAUAUACAACCUACAAAGAUAAAAGAAAAUGGAAGCCAAAGUUUUGGAGAAAACCUAUUUCAGAGAGUAGCUUCAGUAGUGAUGAGGAAGAGUCUACAGGACCAAUUAAGUAUGCCUUUCAGCCAGAGAACCGAAUAAAUGUCCCAGCUUUGGAUACAGUUGUCACUCCAGAUGAUGUCAGAUACUUUACAAAUGAAACUGAUGACAUUGCUAAUUUAGAAGCAAGUGUGCUUGAAAAUCCUUCUCAUGUACAACUGUGGCUCAAGCUUGCAUACAAGUACUUGAAUCAAAAUGAAGGAUUAUGUUCAGAAUCCUUGGAUUCUGCUUUAAAUGUUCUGGCUCGAGCAUUGGAAAAUAACAAAGAUAAUCCAGAAAUUUGGUGCCAUUACCUCCGAUUGUUCUCAAAAAGAGGAACCAAAGAGGAGGUCCAGGAAAUGUGUGAAACAGCUGUUGAAUAUGCUCCCGAUUAUCGAAGUUUUUGGACUUUUCUACACCUAGAAAGCACCUAUGAAGAAAAAGAUUAUGUAUGUGAAAGGAUGAUGGAGUUUCUGAUGGGAGCAGCCAAAGAAGAAGCUUCAGAUAUGCUGUCCUUUCAGCUUUUAGAGGCUCUUUUGUUUAGAGUUCAGCUGCAUAUAUUUACUGGAAGAUACCAAAAUGCGCUUGCAAUUUUACAGAAUGCUUUGAAAUCUGCUAAUGAUAGAAUAGUAGCUGAAUACCUUAAAACAAGUGAUCGAUGUUUGGCAUGGCUAGCCUACAUACAUCUUAUCGAAUUCAACAUUCUUCCUCCAAAAUUGUAUGAUCCAUCUAAUGCCAAUCCUUCAAGAAUUGUUAACACAGAACCAUUUGUAAUGCCGUGGCAUGCAGUUCAAGAUGUAAAGACUAAUCCAGACAUGUUGUUAGCAGUUUUUGAAGAUGCAGUGAAAGCUUGUACUGAUGAGAGCCUUACUGUUGAGAAAAGAAUAGAGGUCUGUCUUCCACUUUAUAUGAACAUGAUUGCUCUGUACCAGCUUCUGGAGAGGUUUGAAGCGGCAAUAAAGCUUUGUAAACAUUUACUGGAAUCAUGUCCUAUGAACUGCCAGUUGUUGGAAGCCCUUGUUGCUGUAUACUUGCAAACAAAUCAACAUGAAAAAGCCAGAACAGAGUGGCUUACUGCGUUUGAAAAAAAUCCUCAGAAUGCAGAAGUUUUUUAUCAUACAAGUAAAUUGUUCAUCUUACAGAAUGAAGGUGAUACGCUUCUUCCAUUUUUGCGGAAAUUUCUCGCAUCCUUCUUUAAACCUGGAUUUGAGAAAUACAGUAACUUGGAUCUGUUUCAGUGUCUCUUAAAUAUCCCAGGACGACUUGACAUUCCAGCUCAUUUAUAUAAAGGGAAUUUUAAUGAUGAAAUGUUUAAUAGCCAAAUCCCUUACUUGUGGCUGAUUUACUGCCUAUGUCAUCCCCUUCUAUCAAGUGUUAAAGAGGCAGAGGAGGCAUAUGAGACCGCAUUAGGGGUGACCAUGAGAUCUGAUAUAAUACAGAAGAUUUGGCUGGAUUAUCUUGUCUUUGCCAAUAACAGGGCUGCUGGAUCCACAAACAAACUUCAAGACUUCACAUUUUUUACUGAUUUAGUGAAUAGAUGUUUGGUUACAGUCCCUGCCCGAUAUCCCAUUCCUUUUAGCAGUGCUGAUUACUGGUCCAACUAUGAAUUUCAUAAUAGGGUUAUUUUCUUUUAUUUGAGCUGUGUUCCAAAGGCCCAGCAUUCUGAAACCUUGGAACGAUUUUGCUCAAUUAUGCCAGCUAAUUCUGGACUUGCCCUGAGGCUGCUUCAACAUGAGUGGGAAGAAAGCAAUGUUCAGAUUCUGAAACUCCAAGCCAAGAUGUUUACAUAUAAUAUCCCAACAUGCCUGGCCACCUGGAAAAUAGCCAUUGCUGCUGAGAUUGUUCUAAAGGGACAAAAAGAGGUCCACCGUUUAUAUCAGAGAGCCUUACAGAAGUUACCUCUUUGUGCGUCACUGUGGAAAGAUCAACUCUUGUUUGAAGCAUCAGAAGGAGGUAAAACUGAUAACCUGAGAAAACUAGUUUCCAAGUGCCAAGAGAUUGGAGUCAGCCUAAAUGAGCUCUUAAAUUUAAACAGUAACAAAACAGAGAGCAAGAAUCACUGA
Elephantulus edwardii (Cape elephant shrew) is the source of this 6093-nucleotide RNA transcript. It is a transcript of the gene named zinc finger C3H1 domain-containing protein-like, with no coding region annotated. The record is from RefSeq and is a predicted model, not a curated record. The transcript is spliced from 35 exons. NCBI's taxonomy places the organism in Eukaryota, Metazoa, Chordata, Mammalia, Macroscelidea, Macroscelididae.